UACGGAGGAUCCAAGCGUUAUCCGGAUUUAUUGGGUUUAAAGGGUGCGUAGGCGGAUUGAUAAGUUAGAGGUGAAAUGUCCGAGCUCAACUCGGGAACUGCCUCUAAUACUGUUGAUCUAGAGAGUAGAUGCGGUAGGCGGAAUGUAUGGUGUAGCGGUGAAAUGCUUAGAGAUCAUACAGAACACCGAUCGCGAAGGCAGCUUACCAAUCUAUAUCUGACGUUGAGGCACGAAAGCGUGGGGAGCAAACAGG
RNAcentral lists this ribosomal RNA (253 nucleotides) under uncultured bacterium. RNAcentral's name for it is "partial 16S ribosomal RNA". It matches the Rfam family "Bacterial small subunit ribosomal RNA", at positions 524 to 776 of the family's 1533-position model. The record is from RNAcentral.